AUGCGCCGGUCACAGCCCCAACUUUCACCUGUUGUAGCAAAAAACGACUCCAUGCGUAGCAAUUGGCACACUGGUUGCAACUUCACCGUGCACCGAGCGCAACUCUGCCGUAGCCGGUUGCAGCUGGGAGCAUCCGGCCUGGAUGCUACGACCAAUGUGCGCUGCCAAUCCGACCUGGAUGCUACGACCGAUGUGCGCUGCCCAGAUGCUGCAACCGGCAUGGGGCGUGACUGGGAUCAAUAG
This 243-nucleotide ribosomal RNA is filed under the name Triticum aestivum (bread wheat). RNAcentral describes it as "partial small subunit ribosomal RNA". Lineage: Eukaryota; Viridiplantae; Streptophyta; Magnoliopsida; Poales; Poaceae. The record is from RNAcentral.